Molecule: long non-coding RNA, 319 nt
Organism: Pezoporus flaviventris
Lineage: Eukaryota; Metazoa; Chordata; Aves; Psittaciformes; Psittacidae
Exons: 3
Source: RefSeq, a predicted model, not a curated record
UUGCUAAGCAAAACAGGACCCAAGAGAUGGUCUGGGAAACAGAGCAGUCAUGACAGAAAGAACAGAGGCAGAGAUACGGGAUGAAUUAAUUUAGGGCAAGCAUCUGCUCCCAGAACAGUGCCAGACAGGUUACCAACAUCCAGUGAGUCUUGGCAGUGAGAAGAUUACCCAGGAUCAUCUCCUGGCUCUUCCACCAUUCUGCUACAGUCUGGUGUUAAGACUAAAAGGCUCUGCAGGGGCCUCAAGGCUGUCUGCUUUCUCUCUACCCUAAAGAACACCAAGAUGAGGGAGAUGAGGGCAGGCUGCUGAGGGCACUGAC